This 482-nucleotide ribosomal RNA is filed under the name uncultured bacterium. Its description in RNAcentral is "bacterial SSU rRNA". It matches the Rfam family "Bacterial small subunit ribosomal RNA", at positions 30 to 507 of the family's 1533-position model. The record is from RNAcentral.
AUUGAACGCUGGCGGCAUGCCUUACACAUGCAAGUCGAACGGUAACGCGGGGCAACCUGGCGACGAGUGGCGAACGGGUGAGUAAUACAUCGGAACGUGCCCAGUAGUGGGGGAUAGCCCGGCGAAAGCCGGAUUAAUACCGCAUACGACCUACGGGUGAAAGGGGGGGAUCGCAAGACCUCUCGCUAUUGGAGCGGCCGAUGUCAGAUUAGGUAGUUGGUGGGGUAAAGGCCUACCAAGCCUACGAUCUGUAGCUGGUCUGAGAGGACGACCAGCCACACUGGGACUGAGACACGGCCCAGACUCCUACGGGAGGCAGCAGUGGGGAAUUUUGGACAAUGGGCGCAAGCCUGAUCCAGCCAUGCCGCGUGCGGGAAGAAGGCCUUCGGGUUGUAAACCGCUUUUGUCAGGGAAGAAACGCUCUGAGCUAAUACCUCGGGGUAAUGACGGUACCUGAAGAAUAAGCACCGGCUAACUACGUG